GAUGAACGCUGGCGGCGUGCCUAAUACAUGCAAGUCGAGCGAACAGAUGAGGAGCUUGCUCCUCUGACGUUAGCGGCGGACGGGUGAGUAACACGUGGAUAACCUACCUAUAAGACUGGGAUAACUUCGGGAAACCGGAGCUAAUACCGGAUAAUAUAUUGAACCGCAUGGUUCAAUAGUGAAAGACGGUUUUGCUGUCACUUAUAGAUGGAUCCGCGCCGCAUUAGCUAGUUGGUAAGGUAACGGCUUACCAAGGCAACGAUGCGUAGCCGACCUGAGAGGGUGAUCGGCCACACUGGAACUGAGACACGGUCCAGACUCCUACGGGAGGCAGCAGUAGGGAAUCUUCCGCAAUGGGCGAAAGCCUGACGGAGCAACGCCGCGUGAGCGAUGAAGGUCUUCGGAUCGUAAAACUCUGUUAGUAGGGAAGAACAAAUGUGUAAGUAACUAUGCACGUCUUGACGGUACCUAAUCAGAAAGCCACGGCUAACUACGUG
This 497-nucleotide ribosomal RNA is filed under the name uncultured bacterium. Its description in RNAcentral is "partial 16S ribosomal RNA". It matches the Rfam family "Bacterial small subunit ribosomal RNA", at positions 28 to 507 of the family's 1533-position model. The record is from RNAcentral.